RNAcentral lists this unclassified non-coding RNA (157 nucleotides) under Diaporthe kyushuensis. RNAcentral's name for it is "ITS2". Lineage: Eukaryota; Fungi; Ascomycota; Sordariomycetes; Diaporthales; Diaporthaceae. The record is from RNAcentral.
CAACCCUCAAGCCUGGCUUGGUGUUGGGGCACUGCCUGUGAGAGGGCAGGCCCUGAAAUCUAGUGGCGAGCUCGCCAGGACCCCGAGCGUAGUAGUUAUAUCUCGUUCUGGAAGGCCCUGGCGGCGCCCUGCCGUUAAACCCCCAACUUCUGAAAUU